GUGAUGUCAUCUGGCCUUGUGGCACAAUCUAGGUGCCAAGGACUUCUAACUUAAUAUAUCAAGUCCAGAUUACCGCCCUGAGCUUCAGACCCACAUACCCAACACCCAGUCAGUGUGGAACAGGCAUCUGAACAAAACGUAGAGAAAUUAAUGGGCAGAAAGAAGUUUCUUGCCGAGGCAGUAGCAGGAUGCUCAGCUCCCGCGCUCUUAUCCAGCUGUCUGGACCGCACCUGAGGACAGUUGAGAGAGCUCCUGCAGAAUAUCACUGCAGCAAGCCCUCACCACUUUUCUCUGACCUGCCUACCUUGAAAGGGCAUCAGGAAGGAAAUCCCUAGGAUGCUGCAUGUUUCCCAGGCGAAAGUGAAUUCAUUUCAUUGCAAUUUGGAGUGGAAGCUGGCCUUGUUGUUUAUCUGGGGGCCCCUCCAGAAUCCUCCAUUCCAACAACUCCUGGAUUUGAUGGCGAGGAUACUUUUGGCAACAGGAAAAGGCACUGAAUACCCAAGACCUAAUUCUUGUUUUGAAAAUUGCAUCUUCCGGAACAGCCAAUUUCAGCAUUGUCCUCCAGACAACAGAUACAAAAAAAAAAAGCUUAUUACCUCGUGAUGGUUAAUAUGUAAUAGUCCAAUGACCUACUUUAGGCAAGUCUAAAUGGUUACAUCACAAGCCACAGACUGAAGUAACUAUAUUUAACCCAGUAUUCUGAGAAAGAGGAACCAGGAACUACUCUCUGGAAUAGGCCCUAUAAAGGCUAUGUGGUUCAUCUGCAAGUUUUUUCAACUUGCCAUAAAUUUCAGAAAAAAAUUCCAAAUAUUUAUUGGAAAAAAUCCACAUAUGAGUGGACCCACACAGUUCAAAUCCAUGUUGUUCAAGAGUCAGCUAUAUACACAUGUUGUAAGCAGCAAAAGGAAAGUAAUACGGUGGAUGAGUUAAUACGCGAAUGAGUUUGUCAACCUUUCCAGCAGUUGAACAUUUCUCUCCUCUCUCCUCCUUGUCUCUGCAUCAAGUGCCUAAUAAUAAUUAAAAUGGAGAGAACUGCAAAAUACAAAGGGACUCAGGUGAGUAAUACUUUUAAGGGAAGACUUGUAAAGGGAAAACUGUGAGCUAAACAAUCAUCUGCAGUCUAUCAAGUCAGCUUGUCUGCAGUGUGGGCUUACCGGUCUUCUCGGGAGGGGAGAGAUUCAGAGUGGGAGGGACCAGCUCAGGGACUUGACUGCCUAGGGUGUAUGGUUCCUUGGGGGCCAUCUUUGGAGAUUAGCUACUUUACUGGGUUUAAAUUUUAAAGAUGAGCAGAUUAACAUGAUAGAGACUUCAAGCUUCAUAAUUGUGGUAGAGUGGUAGAGUGGUUUCUCUGGGUCUGGAACCAAAAUUACAACACUUCACACAUCGGAUGGAAUACAAAGUCAAAGACGUAAGACACAGAUGUCUUAUAUGGAGCCCCCUUGCUUGCCCAGUUCAACCCCUAAGAAAGAAAUGCAUUCAUGGAGAUGCUUCAGGUUUUAUCUAGCCUUGCAUAAUUCCAAAUAUAUAGCUAUUUUUUCCAACCAUUUCUCAAGUUCUCCUGGUCAGAGAACACACAGUCACACUUGUGUCUAUGUUUGCACACACAGGGAGCUGGUUUCCUGGAGAAGGAGAGAAUUACUCUUUAGGAGGUAGAAUGUCUUAGUUGUCCAGAGGCUUAGGUUCUGACACAGACUACCCAGUUCAAAUUCUUCUUGAGCCACUUCCUAGCCAUGACCUAGAAUAAGCAGAUAACUUUUCCAUGCCUUUUGUUUCUUCAGCUCAAAAAUUGGGCUAAUAUGAGCAUUUACCACAGAGAACUGUUACAGGGAAGAAAGGAGAUAAUUUUGUAGAUUUAUGCAAAGUGCUUAGUUUAGUGACUGGCACAGAGAAAGCACCUCAUGAAUAUUAGUUAGUAGUAGUACUAGUAUUAGUAAACUCUGAUGUUAAAGUGAAAACUAAGUUUAAUUUUCCAGAUAAUUACUGCAGUUUUUUAUUCUUCGUGGCAGAAUAACCAUUUCGGAGCUUAAAGACAGUUAAACCUGAGCAGGAACCGGAGAUGCAGUUAUUUUUCCAGCUCAGUAUUGUGGCAGAGGCACCGGUGAUCGGUAGCCCUUGUGGCAUCAGUGAUCUCUCGCCUUGCUGGGGUUAAGAGAGACAAACCGUUGCCUUCACAGGUGCUCUGAAUCCAAACGUUUGUGACAUUAAAACCAGCAUCCAUGUGUGAGCACAGACUAAAAUGUGCUGUGUCACCAGCAAGCCCAUACUUGCAGUCUCUUAAAUCACCCAAAUCAUAUUUCUUCACUCCUGCUUAUGUGCAACCCAAGAAGCAGGGGUCUCUGCUCACUGUGAUAUUGUGAUCCCCCAGACCCCAGAAUGAUAGAGCAGCCACCAUCACAGAUGUUCCCGGUCCCGGUGCCAGAGAGCGGGCAAGCGUGUAGUAGACAGUGCACUGACUCUUCAAGUGUCCACCAGGAGGGACAUGUAUCGCUUCCAGUUGUAUUUCAUUGGCCAGAAAAAGAAAAGUUAUCUGGCCACUCCUAAGUGCAAAUAGGAUGGGAAGUCCAAUUCUACCAUUCUCAGAAGGGGGAAAGCCAGGAAUAUAUGGGAAUCAGCAUCAAUGAAAAACGUACCAUGAAAGGCAAUGCUGGACACUUUUAGAGAUGCAGGAAUAAACAAAACCUAGUACCCUUCUCAGGAUCCUGGCAGUUGGGAAGGUAAUCUGGGGCAGGUGCAUGCAUGACUUUAAAACAAACCAGCCGUUGUUAUGAUUUUACAUGGGAAAAAUAAACCAAAAACCAAAGUCAUCUGUCGCAGGCAUUCUCCACCAGGAGAAAAUUUUCCCCCAGGGGAUAUUUCUAGUUGUCACAUUUUAGCUACUGGCAAUACCUAGUGAGGCCAGGGAGGCUGCUAAAUACCCUACAAGUCACAGGACAGCUCCGCACAGAAAAGAAUUAUCUGGUCCCCAACGUCAAUAGUGGUGAGGUAGAGAAACUGGAUUAUUAUAAUCUAUACACUUUCUCACGCACACUCCUAAAUCCACUGAAAAGAAAUUUGAAGUAUCUGCAAUUGAGACUUUAUAUACAGAUGUAUAAAUGCUCAUGACAGGGAGCCCAAGGGUGCUCUACCACUGCACAUUUCAUGUUCAGGUGUCUGGUACUUGAUUCAGAAUACGGUGCAUCCAGCUUGAGAUCCACCUGAGAGAAUCAACUGUAUUUUCAAUUGUUUUUCAAGAAGACUUGGGAAAUCCAAUUUUAAACAUUGCUUUUCAAAACAGACAGUUCCACAAAUUUAUCUGCCAGUUUGAUGAAGCAAAGUUUAGUCCCAAUGGAAAAUAAAAAGGUGGCAUGACAUAAUUAGAUGCUGACUAUGGAUAAUAAGCUUUAUAUGAGGGCUUCAGUGAGCCCUUCUUGACAAGAGCACCUCUGUCUCAGAAUAAUCUACUGUGACCAUAACCGGAGCAGACAGGAAAUGAUUGGAUGGUAAGCGACCAAGGAAAGGGUUGUGUUAAAGCCUAGAGGUACUAAAUGAGUUUGUGAGACAGGUUUGUCAGACACAGAUGAAUGCAGAAGCGAGAGGCAUGUGGAAGGAAUUCUUUAUCCUGAAAGGUGGGAAGCUAAUAAGUAAACUACACUGAAGGAAUUUGACCUUCCAGCAUCAACUUGUGUUUGAAUUUGGGUUUAAAGUUAGUUCCUGUGUGGUAAGUUUUGUUUCCUAGCCUGAGCAUCAAGCCUGGGGCUUGCAGAAUGACUGGCUCCAGAGGAACAAUGUGAUGCCUGGAAAGAAUAUUUGUGGGUCCUUAAUCUAUGAAUCAAAAGGCAAACUCUGCCCCCGCAGUUUGUUAAUCCAGGUGGCUGAGAGGGAGCCAAUAUAAUCACUUACAAGAAUGCACCCAGUUUGGGCUCAUUUUAAGAAAGCCUCAACUAUGUUUGGAAUGUACCAGAUCAAUAAACUGCUAAUUUUUACAUCUGUUAGCCCACUGAUUCCUCAGUGGGUUGAAGCUUGUAGUACAAAUACAGUCCAAGCAGUUUCUUAAUUAGACAGGCUUCAACAGGUCAAAGGAGCAUGCUUAGGCCCAGUUUGGAAUUCUUUUAUUUACUCAGUUCCUGCUGUCAUGGGGAAAUGCAAUUGCUAUGCAAAUUCUUCAAAAAAAAAUGGAUCCCUCUCACACCUGACCUUGGUAAAUACCAGCCAUUUCUUCCUUUCAUAUUCUGGGCUCUGUUUAUUAAGUAAAUAUCUUGUUCUAAGAGAAUACAGGCUCCAGUCUUUAGGAGGGAUGGAUCAUGAGACUUGCAACUAAUUUUCAAAUGGUUUUGCGCAAGUAAUACAUAUAAAACUCUGCACACACAUAAGAAUAAAGCAAAAGUGGCCAAAAAUUAACCUUUUGGCAAACUGAAGUAAAGAGUUGAGAGGAAUUCACUGUACCACUCUUACAGGUAUAAACUUUUUCAAAUGAAAAAGUUAAACAAAAACAUUUUAUGUCAUUACUUACACAUUAUUUUACGUUUUUUUUCUCACUGCGUCUUCACAGG
Non-coding RNA from Manis javanica (Malayan pangolin), 4529 nucleotides. The record is from RefSeq and is a predicted model, not a curated record. Lineage: Eukaryota; Metazoa; Chordata; Mammalia; Pholidota; Manidae.